CUUGAUGAAGAGCAAGCUGUGUUUUGGGCUUGUUUCAUUUGUUCAUGUUUC
This 51-nucleotide microRNA precursor is filed under the name Mus pahari (shrew mouse). RNAcentral's name for it is "miRNA (MGP_PahariEiJ_G0007595.1)". The record is from RNAcentral. Lineage: Eukaryota; Metazoa; Chordata; Mammalia; Rodentia; Muridae.